RNAcentral lists this ribosomal RNA (404 nucleotides) under uncultured bacterium. RNAcentral's name for it is "bacterial SSU rRNA". It matches the Rfam family "Bacterial small subunit ribosomal RNA", at positions 28 to 434 of the family's 1533-position model. The record is from RNAcentral.
GACAAACGCUGGCGGCGUGCAUAAAACAUGCAAGUCGGACGAGCCAAUCCCCGCAAGGGGAAAGGCUAGUGGCGAACGGCUGAGUAACACGUAGGUGAUCUGCCCUGAAGUGGGGGAUAACGACUCGAAAGAGUCGCUAAUACCGCAUGUGACCAUCGAUUCGUUUUCGAUGCUCAAAGUCGUAAGACGCUUUAGGAGGAGCCUGCGGCGGAUUAACUAGUUGGUGAGGUAAUGGCCCACCAAGGCUUCGAUCCGUAGCUGGUCUGAGAGGAUGGCCAGCCAGACUGGGACUGAGACACGGCCCAGACUCCUACGGGAGGCAGCAGUUAGGAAUUUUGCGCAAUGGGGGAAACCCUGACGCAGCCACGCCGCGUGCGGGAUGAAGGCCUCGGUCGUAACCGACC